AUUCCAGCUCCAAUAGCGUAUAUUAAAGUUGUUGCAGUUAAAAAGCUCGUAGUUGGACUUCUGGCAGGGCGCCGCGUGCCACAGUAGUGCGCACAAGGGCCCGGCCAUCCUUCUGUAAACGUCGGGGAAGUUUAUUCGUCCGCGGCGGGAUCAGUUAAUUUACCUUGAGAAAAUUAGAGUGUUUCAGGCAGGCGUAGCCGGAAUACAUUAGCAUGGAAUAAUGGAAUAGGACUUAGUCUCUCUGUUGGUUCGAGGGACUGGAGUAAUGAUUAAUAGGGAUAGUUGGGGGCAUUAGUAUUUAUUAGCUAGAGGUGGAAUUCUCUAGUUUGAUAAAGACUAACUUAUGCGAAAGCAUUUGCCAAGGAUGUUUUCAUUA
RNAcentral lists this ribosomal RNA (376 nucleotides) under Strombidium sp. RNAcentral's name for it is "partial small subunit ribosomal RNA". It matches the Rfam family "Eukaryotic small subunit ribosomal RNA", at positions 582 to 975 of the family's 1831-position model. Lineage: Eukaryota; Ciliophora; Spirotrichea; Strombidiidae. The record is from RNAcentral.